RNAcentral lists this ribosomal RNA (231 nucleotides) under uncultured Staphylococcus sp. RNAcentral describes it as "partial 16S ribosomal RNA". It matches the Rfam family "Bacterial small subunit ribosomal RNA", at positions 109 to 334 of the family's 1533-position model. Lineage: Bacteria; Bacillati; Bacillota; Bacilli; Caryophanales; Staphylococcaceae. The record is from RNAcentral.
AGUAACACGUGGAUAACCUACCUAUAAGACUGGGAUAACUUCGGGAAACCGGAGCUAAUACUGGAUAAUAUUUUGAACCGCAUGGUUCAAAAGUGAAAGACGGUCUUGCUGUCACUUAUAGAUGGAUCCGCGCUGCAUUAGCUAGUUGGUAAGGUAACGGCUUACCAAGGCAACGAUUCAUAGCCGACCUGAGAGGGUGAUCGGCCACACUGGAACUGAGACACGGUCCAG